Molecule: long non-coding RNA, 571 nt
Organism: Cucumis melo (muskmelon)
Lineage: Eukaryota; Viridiplantae; Streptophyta; Magnoliopsida; Cucurbitales; Cucurbitaceae
Exons: 2
Source: RefSeq, a predicted model, not a curated record
CUUAGCUCAUCCUCAGAAGCAGCAUAGGGGAUGUCAAUCUUGUUUCCGAGCACAAGGAAUGGAACAUCAGCCAGCGCUUCAUCUGAAAGGAGAGCAUCAAGCUCCUUUUUCGAUUCGGUAAACCGCUCUUUGUCAUAGGCAUCAACCAGAGUGGUUUUGCCGGCAUUGUCGAGGCCGAGAAAGAGAAUUUUAGCCUCUUUUUGCCAGAGGCCGAGAGAUGCUAAGACGCCGUAGAACCAAUCGACGAGAAACAUAAUCGCCGAUUGAUGAUAGAAUGUGUAAGGAAUGAAGCCGGAAAAAUCACCGGAGAGUGGAAUGAGAAUGAAGUAUGAAGAGGAAUGUAGAUUCAAAGGAAGAAGAAAGAUGGAGAUCUGAAAAAGUCAUUUCACAAUUUUGUUUUUAAUAAGGAAAAUAAAAACAAAAAGGAUUUGGCGUUACAAACUGUUAUGUGCUGCAACGAACCAUAUGGACUUAUUGGGUUUUCUUCUUGCUUGCUUUGAUGACUUGCGUUAUUGUUAAUAAAGUGAUUGAAUUCUUAGUCCUAUUCUAAAAACAAAACCAAUUUUUAAAA